Molecule: ribosomal RNA, 482 nt
Filed under: uncultured bacterium
Lineage: Bacteria
Description: partial 16S ribosomal RNA
Rfam family: Bacterial small subunit ribosomal RNA (bases 52-482)
Source: RNAcentral
GGGGGGGGGGGGGGGGGGGGGGGGGGGGGGGGGGGCGGGGGGGAGGGGGGGGCGGGGGGCUGGCGGGGGGGGGGCGGGGGGGUGAGGGAGGGGAACGUGCCCGGUCGGGGGGGCUAACUAGUCGGGAGCGGCGCUAAUACCGCACACGAGCUAUGGGGGAAAGCGGGGGACCGUAAGGCCGCGCGCGAUUGGGGCGGGCGGUGUCAGAUUAGGUAGUUGGGUGGGUCAAGGCUCACCAAGGCUACAAUCUGUGGCUGGUCUGAGAGGACGACCAGCCACACUGGGACUGAGACACGGCCCAGACUCCUGCGGGAGGCAGCAGUGGGGAAUUUUGGACAAUGGGCGCAAGCCUGAUCCAGCAAUGCCGCGUGCAGGAAGAAGGCCUUCGGGUUGUAAACUGCUUUUGUACGGAACGAAACGGCUCUGGUUAAUACCCGGGGCUAAUGACGGUACCGUAAGAAUAAGCACCGGCUAACUACGUG